AUAUUGCGUGAGGGAUAGUAGCGGCAUCCUUUUGUUUUCUAUAUUUUGCAAUCCAAGUUGUUUGCUCUAAUGCAUAUAUUGGGGUUUAAAACUGUUUAAAGGCUUUUUUAUAAACAAAAGAUAUAGCAGAUAGCUCGACCCGAA
Molecule: small RNA, 144 nt
Filed under: Aquimarina atlantica
Lineage: Bacteria; Pseudomonadati; Bacteroidota; Flavobacteriia; Flavobacteriales; Flavobacteriaceae
Description: Flavo-1 RNA
Rfam family: Flavo-1 RNA
Source: Rfam by way of RNAcentral